AGGAGCAUGUGGUUUAAUUCGAUGAUACGCGAGGAACUUACCUGGGCUCGAACGUAAGAUGACUGUAGGUGAAAGCUUACAUCUCUUCGGAGCAUUUUACGAGGUGCUGCAUGGUUGUCGUCAGCUCGCGCCGUGAGGUGUCGGGUUAAGUCCCAUAACGAGCGCAACCCCUGCCUUUAGUUGCCAUCAGGUUAAGCUGGGGACUCUAAAGGAACUGCCUACGCAAGUAGUGAGGAAGGCGGGGAUGACGUCAAAUCAGCACGGCCCUUACGUCCAGGGCUACACACGUGCUACAAUGGCCGAUACAGAGGGCAGCUACCUGGUGACAGGAUGCAAAUCUCCAAAGUCGGUCUCAGUUCGGAUCGGAGUCUGCAACCCGACUCCGUGAAGUUGGAUUCGCUAGUAAUCGCGCAUCAGCCAUGGCGCGGUGAAUACGUUCCCGGGCCUU
Molecule: ribosomal RNA, 448 nt
Filed under: uncultured Sphingobacteriales bacterium
Lineage: Bacteria; Pseudomonadati; Bacteroidota; Sphingobacteriia; Sphingobacteriales
Description: bacterial SSU rRNA
Rfam family: Bacterial small subunit ribosomal RNA
Source: RNAcentral